Trematomus bernacchii (emerald rockcod) is the source of this 488-nucleotide long non-coding RNA. RefSeq lists it as uncharacterized. Lineage: Eukaryota; Metazoa; Chordata; Actinopteri; Perciformes; Nototheniidae. The record is from RefSeq and is a predicted model, not a curated record. The transcript has 2 exons.
CCCUGGCUGGGUGUGGCUGACCCACUUCUGAUUCCCGCCAACUCACCUCCGCAGCUGCUGCUCAUCAUCCUGAUUACACUACUCACCUUCACCUGCUUAUAUGCCCGGUCCUCUCAUCCAAUAUUCACCAGUUCGUCGUUUCACCUCGCUGAAUCCAUCUGCCUACUCCUCUGCCUGCCACAUCCAGCCACGUACCUCUCGUCUGAGUAUCUCCGUGCUUCCACGCACACCGGCUCCAACCUGUCAACUAUCGCCAGCUCUGGAUCAGCGGCUUUCCUCGCCAGUGUACCUUCGUGCUUCCACGCACACCAGCUCCUUCCUGUCGACUCUCACCAGCUCUGGUCCCCCGGCUCUCCUCGCCAGAGUAUCUCCGUGCAUAUCCGCACCACCUCAGUUAACAAACCCUGGCUUUGGGUUUAUUGGAUAUUUAAUCCCUCGUCUGACUCUAUAUAAGGUUUUUGGUUAAUAAACCUUUUUCUACCUCAAAA